GGUCAUGCUAGAAAGAGCAUAUGGUGGAUGCCUUGGCACUAAGAGCCGAUGAAAGACGCGAUAAGCUGCGAAAAGCUUCGGGGAGGGGCAAAUACCCUUUGAUCCGGAGGUGUCUGAAUGGGGAAACCCGCAUGAGGAGCCCUCAUGCAUCCCUGCGCCAAUCCAUAACGCAGGGAGGGGAACCCGGCGAACUGAAACAUCUAAGUAGCCGGAGGAAGAGAAAACAACAAGUGAUUCCGUAAGUAGCGGCGAGCGAACACGGAGGAGCCCAAACCGGGGCGCGUGCGCCCCGGGGUUCGGACCGCGGAAGUGAUUCGGGAAGGCUAGCAGAACGGCUUUGGGAAAGCCGGCCAGAGAGGGUGAAAGCCCCGUAAGCGAAAGCCUGACAGACACGGCGGUAUCCAGAGUACCACGAGACACGAGAAACCUUGUGGGAAGAGGCGGGGACCACCCCGCAAGGCUAAAUACUCCUUAGUGACCGAUAGCGCAUAGUACUGUGAAGGAACGGUGAAAAGAACCCCGGGAGGGGAGUGAAAGAGAACCUGAAACCAUAUGUUUACAAGCUGUGGAAGGGCCUUACGUGCCCAACCGCGUACUUUUUGUAGAACGGUCCGGCGAGUUACGCCGGCUGGCAAGGUUAAGGGCUAAAGGCCCGGAGCCGAAGGGAAACCAAGUCUGAAUAGGGCGAAGGAGUCAGCCGGAGUAGACCCGAAACCGGGUGAUCUAUCCAUGUCCAGGUUGAAGUUGCCGUAAAAGGCAAUGGAGGACCGAACCCACAUCCGUUGAAAAGGGUGGGGAUGAGGUGUGGAUAGGGGAGAAAUUCCAAUCGAACCCGGAGAUAGCUGGUUCUCCUCGAAAUAGCUUUAGGGCUAGCCUCAUACGAGUCUUGCGGAGGUAGAGCACUGAAUUUCCUAGGGGGCGUCAAAGCUUACCGAAGAAUAUCAAACUCCGAAUGCCGCGUAGAUGAUGUAUGGGAGUCAGACUGCACGAGAUAAGUUGGGCAGUCGAAAGGGAAAGAGCCCAGACCUGCGGCUAAGGCCCCAAAAUGUGUGUUAAGUGGAAAAGGAUGUGGGAUUUCGAAGACAACUAGGAUGUUGGCUCAGAAGCAGCCAUGCAUUCAAAGAGUGCGUAAUAGCUCACUAGUCGAGAGGUCCCGCGCCGAAAAUGUCCGGGGCUGAAACACACUGCCGAAGCCCGGGGAUGUACCAAGUACAUCGGUAGAGGAGCAUUGGAUGCGGGAGGAAGCGGCACCGGAAGGAGCCGUGGACCGCAUCGAAGAGAGAAUGCCGGAAUGAGUAGCGAGAGGAAGGUGGGAAUCCUUCCGGCCGAAUAUCCAAGGUUUCCAGAGUAAAGCUGAUCUGCUCUGGGUAAGUCGGGGCCUAAGGCGAGGGCGGGAGCCGUAGCCGAUGGACAACAGGUUGAGAUUCCUGUACCGCGAUAUGACAGAACUGUGGGGACACGCGUGGAAAGCAUAAGCCGGGAAUGGAAAGACCGGCGCAAGCGGGGCAGGGGCUGCAUAGGCAAAUCCGUGCAGCGUAACCCGAAGCCGUGACGCGUACCGAACUGCAAGUAGGGAAGUAUGCGAGCCAUGCGUCAAGAAAAGCCGCUAUCGCUCAUAUCGCGCCCGUACCGCAAACCGACACAGGUAGAUGAGGAGAGAAUCCUAAGGCCGACGGGAGAAGCAUUGUCAAGGAACUCGGCAAAAUGACUCCGUAACUUCGGGAGAAGGAGUGCCAUAGAGAUAUGGCCGCAGAGAAUUGGCCCAAGCAACUGUUUAGCAAAAACACAGGUCUAUGCGAAGCCGCAAGGCGAGGUAUAUGGGCUGACGCCUGCCCGGUGCUGGAAGGUUAAGGGGAGAGGUUAGAGCGAUCGAAGCCUUGAACUUAAGCCCCAGUAAACGGCGGCCGUAACUAUAACGGUCCUAAGGUAGCGAAAUUCCUUGUCGGGUAAGUUCCGACCCGCACGAAAGGCGUAAUGAUUUGGGCACUGUCUCGACAAUGCACCCGGUGAAAUUGAAGUACCAGUGAAGAUGCUGGUUACCCGCGCCAGGACGGAAAGACCCCAUGGAGCUUUACUCCAGCUUGAUACUGGGAUCCGGUAUUGCAUGUACAGGAUAGGUGGGAGGCUAGGAAGCGGGGACGCCAGUCGCCGCGGAGCCGCUGUUGGGAUACCACCCUUGCAGUGCUGGGUUUCUAACCAGCAGCCGCGAACCGGCUGGGGGACAAUGUCAGGCGGGGAGUUUGACUGGGGCGGUCGCCUCCGAAAGGGUAUCGGAGGCGCUCAAAGGUCCUCUCAGAAUGGUCGGAAACCAUUCGCAGAGCGCAAAGGCAGAAGAGGGCUUGACUGCGACACCGACGGGUGGAGCAGGUACGAAAGUAGGACUUAGUGAUCCGGUGGUAUAAAGUGGGAUUGCCAUCGCUCAACGGAUAAAAGCUACCCUGGGGAUAACAGGCUUAUCACUCCCAAGAGUUCACAUCGACGGAGUGGUUUGGCACCUCGAUGUCGGCUCAUCGCAUCCUGGGGCUGAAGUAGGUCCCAAGGGUUGGGCUGUUCGNNNNNNNNNNNNNNNNNNNNNNNNNNNNNNNNNNNNNNNNNNNNNNNNNNNNNNNNNNNNNNNNNNNNNNNNNNNNNNNNNNNNNNNNNNNNNNNNNNNNNNNNNNNNNNNNNNNNNNNNNNGAUGACGCCAGUCGUCGCGGAGCCGCUGUUGGGAUACCACCCUUGCAGUGCUGGGUUUCUAACCAGCAGCCGUGAACCGGCUGGGGGACAAUGUCAGGCGGGGAGUUUGACUGGGGCGGUCGCCUCCGAAAGGGUAUCGGAGGCGCUCAAAGGUCCUCUCAGAAUGGUCGGAAACCAUUCGCAGAGCGCAAAGGCAGAAGAGGGCUUGACUGCGACACCGACGGGUGGAGCAGGUACGAAAGUAGGACUUAGUGAUCCGGUGGUAUAAAGUGGGAUUGCCAUCGCUCAACGGAUAAAAGCUACCCUGGGGAUAACAGGCUUAUCACUCCCAAGAGUUCACAUCGACGGAGUGGUUUGGCACCUCGAUGUCGGCUCAUCGCAUCCUGGGGCUGAAGUAGGUCCCAAGGGUUGGGCUGUUCGCCCAUUAAAGCGGUACGCGAGCUGGGUUCAGAACGUCGUGAGACAGUUCGGUCCCUAUCCGGCGCGGGCGUAGGAUAUUUGAGAGGAGCUGUCCUUAGUACGAGAGGACCGGGAUGGACUGGCCGCUGGUGGAUCUGUUGCGCCUCCAGGCGCAUGGCAGAGUAGCCAAGCCGGGACGGGAUAAACGCUGAAGGCAUCUAAGCGUGAAGCCCCCCUCGAGAUGAGAUAUCCCUGGCGUUAAGCCAGUAAGACCCCUUGAAGACGACGAGGUAGAUAGGAUAGAGGUGGAAGUGCAGCAAUGCAUGGAGCUGACUAUUACUAAUCGGUCGAGGGCAUGACCAG
Lachnospiraceae bacterium 5_1_57FAA is the source of this 3438-nucleotide ribosomal RNA. It matches the Rfam family "Bacterial large subunit ribosomal RNA". NCBI's taxonomy places the organism in Bacteria, Bacillati, Bacillota, Clostridia, Lachnospirales, Lachnospiraceae. The record is from Rfam.